ACCAGGGGUAUCAUUGUGGUGAUGAAGUGAUCAGGACACAGCUCAGUGCAUGAAAGUAAAGUACUGCAGAGGGAGAGCAACAAGAGGAACUUUACUGGGACUUUACUGAAUUAUACUAGUAAAACAAGUUUUUCUGAGAAGGGAUAUUAUUCAUGGCUACAGCUAACAGAAAGACUUACAGAAGUAUAACCGUGGGACAAAUACCAGAAAACAAGAGCAAGGUAAAAUAUGAAAGAUUCUGAGAAACAGAAAUAGAAAUAGUAAGCAGCUCCUCCCUGCACUCCCACAUGAUUUUCAUUAAGUUUUUACCAACUUGUAUGAUAUCCAGCUGCUCCAUGGUGGCCCACAGAUUCCGGCUGAAGCAAACUCUGUGAGGUGCCAGAUGCAUGGAUCCUUUACUGUGGGCUAAAAGAUUCCAAAGAUGAGCUCAGCACAAAUUACACUAAUUUCCUGGCACUUCCCUUUUCUGUAUGUCAGCAAUAUACUCAUCUUAAUAUGAGAUACUUAUUUCAGAGGCAAUUUUGAAUAUUAAUGCAAAUAAACAAAACAAACUACUUUGGAGUCUUGGAAAGUUGCUUAG
This is a long non-coding RNA of Xenopus tropicalis (tropical clawed frog), 580 nucleotides long. RefSeq lists it as uncharacterized. NCBI's taxonomy places the organism in Eukaryota, Metazoa, Chordata, Amphibia, Anura, Pipidae. The transcript is spliced from 3 exons. The record is from RefSeq and is a predicted model, not a curated record.